Vespula vulgaris is the source of this 1726-nucleotide long non-coding RNA. RefSeq lists it as uncharacterized. NCBI's taxonomy places the organism in Eukaryota, Metazoa, Arthropoda, Insecta, Hymenoptera, Vespidae. The transcript is spliced from 8 exons. The record is from RefSeq and is a predicted model, not a curated record.
UCUAUCAGCGCUCUCGAUAACAUCGGGCGUGGAACUUCGAAGAUCUAAUACCCAAUCUAAAAUAGCUUCCUCGUGCAUCAUGUCUCCUGUAUAAAACUGACGAAAUUUGUUCCUGUAAAAUGCAAGAGCUGGUAGCCCAGUUUGGAAUUAACCUCUUCGAUCUUCCCUGGUAUCUCCAGUGUAUUUUCGUCCGUGAUCCAGGACAGAACUUCGUCCUCGUCUCCAAGAUCACCAGGAUAUAUCAAAGGUUCUUUAUUUCUAAAGAAAGCCAAAGUGGGGAAGCUUCUAAUACCAUAUUUCUUGGCAAGUGGCAUAUCUUCCGUCGUCACGAAAAUAAUACCAGCUUCGUCUAACUCGUCGUCGAUAUUUUCUAAUUCUAAAAGAACGUUAUCGCAGCUUUCACCUUCGUCACAGCUUCCACCUUGAAGAAAAUUGAAGAGAAUUAAGACACGACAAGUUAAAAAGAGAAUGUUAAAGCGCGGAACAAGGAUUGGAGAGUAUGAGAAUGGAAAAAAGAAAAAAGAGAAGGACAAUUGCAACCUGCGUAUCACAAUAAAUUAAAGCUACUAUUAUCGACUAUGUUGGAUUUUUCCUUUUUUUUUUUACAAAGGGAGAAAUGUAUCUUUAGUAAUAAUCGAUGAAAUCUACUUUGCGAUGGAGAAAUAAUUCUCUCAAUAUGAUGUUAAUUAGAAUGAUAUUGAAAAUGAACAAAAACGAGAAGAAGUUAUAAAUUAAAUGAAGGGUAGAGAGAAGAUAAAGAGAACAAAAACUCACAGAAAAGAACCGCUACGAAUUCCGUAUCUUCGACGAUUUUAUCCAGAAUUUUAGCAUUUACUUCUUCUAUCCGAUCUGGUAAAUCCAUUGCCUCUAAACUGAAGAAAAUAUCUCAUUAGCGGAAACCUCAUUAAAAUUUUUAAUGAAAAAUAAAUUAUGCCAUAUAAUUAUGAUACAAUAUCAUAAAUGCUCGAUCAAGCCUCACGUGUUAACAAAAAUUUCAACUUGUAAAUUAUAUCACACAGUUAAACUCAAGAUUUAUAAAAAAGACACGUCAUGAAAACAAUCUCAAUAGAUUCAAACGCUUAAGUACGUAUGAUAAAGUUGAGAGUUACAUGUAAAUUAUAUUCUCUACUGUAAUCUUAAAUUUCAUAGUUGUAGAUAACGCAUAAUUAAUUCAUUAAUUAAUUAACAAAAAAACUACAACUGAAUUAAAAAAAAAAAAAAAAGAAGAAGAAGAAGAAAAAAAAGGUCCUCAUAGUUGACAUUUUAAAGAUAGUAGAAUCUAACAAUAAACUCCAAUAAGGAGGACACAGUAUCGAAAGAAAUAGAAAAACGAUUAAGGGAUGCAAAAAGGAAUAUACAUAGUUAAGUUUUAUCGUAUGGCAGUAGGCAACCCAAAGAAAAAAAAGAAAAGUACAAGGAAAAGAAAAAAAAAAAGAAGAAGAAGCAGCAGAAAAAAAGAAACGAAACGAAAACGAAAAAAAAGGAAAAAGAAAAAGAUAGCCUCUGAGGCGGCACGAGACGAUGAGAGCGGGAGAACGUGCCAGCUGGAAAUAGGUUCGACGUGAGAGCUCGUGGUCCGGGUCCUCCUCCUCUACGUAUACACGCGUAUAACAGAGAAAAUAAUCACUAUGAAUUCGUCGGGAUAAAACGAAUAAAUAUUUUGACGAUGAUGAUACGUAAUUGUAACAAUGUCACACUUACACCAAAACACAGCAACGAAGUCCUU